UAAUCACUGAGACUCACAAUCGUGGAAACUCAUCAUCAUCAACACAGCUAGUGGAAAGCCUUGUACAAAACGCUGGUACCCCUUCUGCAUUUCAGCACCUGUCGGACGCUGCUCUUGCAUGGAUUGGAAGGCUGAACUCUCAUGACGAGACCUUGACGAGAAUGUCAUCAUCUUCUACCACUGAUAAUACUCAUCACAGGCCAUUACGAGCUUCUGCUAUUGCUGAGACCUAUAAUUUGCCUACUUAUUUUGCUGAUGAUUCAAGAAGGCUUAGAAGAGAGCCUCUGGAAGACGGGCAGCGAGUGACGAACCCCGAUGUAGGACUGACGGAAACUGAGGUUGCAGCAUGUUUUGGACGGGAAAUUUUUUAAACUGUUGGUGAGCAGCCUCAGAACAUUGAUGCAUGCGGCAUAUGUCUGGAGGACUAUGUUCACGGUGAAGAGCUUGGGAGAUUGGAUUGUGCGCACAAAUAUCACCUUUCUUGCAUCAGGCAGUGGUUGCUUAUCAAGAACAGAUGGCCCGUUUGCAAGAAAAUGGCUCUCACCAUCAUAGACUU
Arachis duranensis is the source of this 556-nucleotide long non-coding RNA. RefSeq lists it as uncharacterized. The record is from RefSeq and is a predicted model, not a curated record. Lineage: Eukaryota; Viridiplantae; Streptophyta; Magnoliopsida; Fabales; Fabaceae. The transcript has 3 exons.